Molecule: long non-coding RNA, 316 nt
Filed under: Cicer arietinum (chickpea)
Lineage: Eukaryota; Viridiplantae; Streptophyta; Magnoliopsida; Fabales; Fabaceae
Description: long non-coding RNA (CARI_LNC000144)
Source: RNAcentral
GGUAAUUAUAUAUGUCCCUUCGCAAACAGUGGCAGAAGAAGAAUUGCAACUUUUUCCCAAGUGACAUUAGUUUCCUAUAAAUAGGGCCACUUUGGACAUAAUGCAAACAACGAAUUCAAGUAAUUGUCAUCCAUUUUCUUUCACUCAUUCUCAUAUACUAAGUCAACUUAUUCUUUUCUAAUGCAUGAGAAAAAAAUAGGUAACAUUAUUUUGUAACAUACUAUUGAAAGAUAUUCUUGGUGUGAUAGUGCAAAUCAUAUCAAGGUUUCCAAAGUACCCUGAAGGGGAUUCGCUGGUUAUCUCAUUUGCAUCCGAU